Caretta caretta (loggerhead turtle) is the source of this 260-nucleotide non-coding RNA. NCBI's taxonomy places the organism in Eukaryota, Metazoa, Chordata, Testudines, Cheloniidae. The record is from RefSeq and is a predicted model, not a curated record.
CAAACGAUUAACUAGAAAGUCGUCAUCCGAUUGGAAUAGUAAAAUUGUUCAGCAUCGCAGACAAAGUGAUGGCCACAACUGCGGACCACUCAUCUUCAAGUCUGCAGAAACGUAUUUGCAGCACAAAGACAUCAGUACGGUAGAAACAACCCAAGAGGCUAAUACUGCGUUUAGAAGACAUAUAGCAAUUCUUCUAAUGAAGGAGUCAGGUGCAGUAAAGUAAAAAUUUGAGAAAAUAUGACUCACAAAAAAGAAAAAGA